Molecule: ribosomal RNA, 380 nt
Filed under: uncultured cyanobacterium
Lineage: Bacteria; Bacillati; Cyanobacteriota
Description: bacterial SSU rRNA
Rfam family: Bacterial small subunit ribosomal RNA
Source: RNAcentral
GGCAACCCUGACGGAGCAACGCCGCGUGUGGGAGGACGGCCUUCGGGUUGUAAACCACUUUUCUCAGGGAAGAAGAACUGACGGUACCUGAGGAAUAAGCCUCGGCUAACUCCGUGCCAGCAGCCGCGGUAAGACGGAGGAGGCAAGCGUUAUCCGGAAUUAUUGGGCGUAAAGCGUCCGCAGGUGGCGAUUCAAGUCUGCUGUCAAAGCACGGGGCUUAACUCCGUUAAGGCAGUGGGAACUGGAUGGCUAGAGUGCCGUAGGGGUAGAGGGAAUUCCCGGUGUAGCGGUGAAAUGCGUAGAGAUCGGGAAGAACACCGGUGGCGAAAGCGCUCUACUGGACCACACCUGACACUCAGAGGACGAAAGCUAGGGGAGCG